AUACCGGCAGCACGAGUGAUGGCCGCUAUUAUUGGGCCUAAAGCGUUCGUAGCCGGCCACUCAAGUUCGUCGGGAAAUCUGCCCGCUUAACGGGCAGGCGUCCGGCGAAAACUGAGUGGCUUGGGGCCGAGAGAUCCAAGGGGUACGUCCGGGGUAGGAGUGAAAUCCUGUAAUCCUGGACGGACCACCGAUGGCGAAAGCACCUUGGAAAAACGGACCCGACGGUGAGGAACGAAAGCUAGGGUCUCGAACCGGAUUAGAUACCCGGGUAGUCCUAGCCGUAAACGAUGCUCGCUAGGUGUGGCGCAGGCUACGAGCCUGCGCUGUGCCGUAGGGAAGCCGAGAAGCGAGCCGCCUGGGAAGUACGUCCGCAAGGAUGAA
This 381-nucleotide ribosomal RNA is filed under the name uncultured bacterium. Its description in RNAcentral is "bacterial SSU rRNA". It matches the Rfam family "Archaeal small subunit ribosomal RNA", at positions 473 to 853 of the family's 1478-position model. The record is from RNAcentral. RNAcentral also lists the same sequence under 1 other name.